UUUCCAACCUCCCUCACUGUCUCACUGUGUGUGUGUGUGUGUGUGUGUGUGUGUUUGACCAGAUCCACCAGAUCCACCAGAUCCGAGACCUUUUAUCAUCAGAGCGGUCGUCCUGACGCUGAUUCUGCUGGUGGCGAACAUUGCCUCUUACUUCUAUUUUAAGACCCACAGGGUCCACAGGGUGCAGAAGCCCCGCAGACGGGAGGACGUGGAGCUGGAUUAUUAUAACCUGGGUGUUCCUGCAGCUGAAGGAGGGCCGACUGAAGAAUAAGGAGCUCAGGGAGCAGAGUAGCACCUCCAAGCAGCUCGUCUCACACCCACAUGGAUUUAUAUUCACAAGUUCCCUUCAAUAUUCAGGAUUUGUUACAUUACAUUAUGAUGAAAAGACCACAACAUGUCCCUGAGCCUAUCGGUUCCUACAGAAGACCUAAAAACACCUCACUAAAGUAAGAGGUGAGAGCAGGUCUACAGAGUCCAAGCAGCCGGCACGAUUCAAAGCAAACACACAGCGACCCAGGCCGACCAGGAACAACCAGCAGGAUCAUGUUAAAUAUCUAAACACUGUUAGUGCGGGAGGCUUUAAGAGCCCCGGCUCUCUGUAUUCACUUGUUUUGAGUCUUUUCUAAAAACCAAGUCUAGAACAAAAGAACCGGGGCAGUUUACCAUUCAUUAAAAGAACACAAGAAAGGAUCACAAGUGCCAAAAAGUUCCUAAAAUCACAGUUUUCUUCUGGGUGUGGGACCCACCCAGACAACAGGUUGGGCUUUGUCGCAAUUGGUCAAUUUUGUAUGGUGACUCAGUAGCCAACCCAUACUGGACACCUGGUGAUAUUUCAUUUAAAAACUAGACACCUUCCCUUUCUACUUAGUAGAAUAGUUUUUAGGUCUAUGGUGUCUUGUACGUAUGGUUAAUUAGUACGACAUCUUGAAGCUAACAGACAAAGUGAAACUUUAAACAUCAGAACUUCAUCUAGUCAGUGAGGUAUGAACUUUAUGAUUUAACUUUAUGUCUCAUUUAUUGCUGUGAGUAAGAGCUCGGCAGCAGGAGUACAUUUAGCUCAACAAGAACCAUAAUAAUACAAAAAAAGAGACAAAAACAACAGAGGUAAUUUUUAUCAGAAUUGACCUAUGGCUAAGCCCCGCCUCCUCCACUCACUCGGACAAACAGUCAACAUUGGGUGACAGGCACGAUGGCAGCUGUCACAGUAGGACACAUUUCACAGGAGGCAAUUGAUUAAUUUCGGAGACAGAUAGAUUAUAAAUCAUCUCGAAGUCACCAAAAGGGCCUUAACUAUGCAUUGGAGGGUUAAAUUAAUAAUUUUAUUGUUGAGAAGGUCGAUGAAAAGCUUCAGCUUCAGGCAAAAAUGUACAGGUCACAGUGUAAACGUGAUAAACUGCAUCUCGUUGCCAUCAAUGGUUCAUGAUAAAAUUAUAUACAGGUCUAAGUUGCAUACGUUUCCAGGACAACAAGCCUUUUAACCAUCUUUACCCAGAGUUCCUCUCUGUUAGUUUGGUGCUACAGUAUUUACAUGAAUCAUUCAGCACAACAUUGCUAACAUUUGUUAUCUCGGUUAUUUACAGAUAAGUUAAUGAAGGUAAGCUCCAAAAGUUAACGUUAGUAUAACUAGAGCCCUUUGGACAACAGCUAACAAUCAUGUACGAUAGCCAAAGUACAAAAACUAGCACAUAACAGGCCAAUGAGCUCCCAGCAAACAAAGUGACAUGAUGUACAACGCAGCUAGAAGCUAACUUUAGCCUAACGUUAGAAAGGGUUAGGCUAACCUUAGAUAACGUUAGCCUAAUGUUAGAAAGGGUUAGGCUAACAUUAGCUAGCUAACAGAUGUAGACAUCCUUGUUCAUUUUAUCACGUUUAGUUGGUGUUGUGGUCUACCAUAACUUUCUCCAGAGCAGACACUUAUCUGGGUUGAGAUGUGGUAAAUGGUAGUAAAUCCCCCCGUGGCCUCUCAGGAUACCUAGUGUCAGAGUUGCAUGUACCCCAUGAACACCGUUUGACCAUUUUAAACUUAAAGUGUCAAGAAAAAACAUAUAAAAACAAUGAAAACGGACUAGCUCCAAUGCAUUUCAAUGGAUGUCGAAGCAGAGAAUUUCCCAGUGUAUUGGGUUAGCUAUGCGCACUGUGAUUGGCUCAUCUCGUUUGGGGGCGGGGCUUAGCCAUAGGUCAUCAGGCUGUCAAUCAGGAUUACCUUCUUUUUAUCACAAAGGAUUUUACUGAUUUCAUCAGUUGAGUUUAAUAUUGAAUUAAUAUUUCAAUUAGAUUUGUUUUUUGUAAUUAAGAUUUUGCUUUUUUCAUAAGAAUUUUGUCUACUAAUUUUUCUUCAUCAAUUGCAUUUAAUUAAUUGUGUUUUUUUGUGUUAUACUUCAGGACAUUGUAUCAUUUUUAAUAUAAUGGGUUUGUUUUUUUUAGGAUAAAUGGGUUUUACUUCUUUUUUAUUUUAACUUUGAUCAUUUUUUGUACUUCAGGAAUUUAAUUACUUAUGUGAAUAAGACAUGGAAUUUUAUCAUUUAAUUAGAAUUUGAGUUAUUUUGGCUUCAUGAAUUUACAAAUUCUAUUUCAAAUUUCACAACAUUUUCUACUUUGUAGUUGAUGAUGAAGAGAUUUUAGUGGAAGCCAGUGGAGUUAGGGUUUUUGAGAUGAUGAGCAGCAGAGUUUUGGAUCAUUUGAAGCUGAUGGAGGAGCUUGUGAGGGAGACCAAAGAGGAGAGAGUUGCAGUAAUCAAUGUGGGAGGUGACAAGACUAUGGACAAGCAUGGAAGUAGUGUUGUUUGAGGGAAGGGAGGAGACAGUUGAUGCUACAUACUUCAUGAAUUUUCUAUAUUUUUUUAACAUUUGUUUUCUAUGAAGUAUUUUGCUUUUUUUAUUUUAAAUUUGGCUCUUUUUGUACUUACAAACAUUUACUUUUGUGACUUUUGUGUGUGAGAAUUGGAAUUUUAUCAUUUCAUGAGAAUUUGAGUUAUUUUUGUACUUUGGCAAUUUAAUAAAUUAUUUGAAAAAUAUUGUUUUUAUUUAAUAAGAAUUUAAAUUCAUCUUGUUGUCAGGAUAUUUUAUAUGAAGGAUUUUGCUUAUUUCAUCAAAACUUUGCCUAUUUUUUUUUUGCCAAAAUGUGGUCAUAAGUUGUUUGUUUGCUGGAAGCUUGGAUACACAGAGAGAUGAAAUGAUGAAGAUCACUGUAAUAAAUGUAUCAGCAGCAUCGACUAUGUACAAACAACAUGAAUCACUUUAAUAAACAGAUGAUUUCAUGUGCUUGUGAAGAA
This is a long non-coding RNA of Centropristis striata (black sea bass), 3271 nucleotides long. RefSeq lists it as uncharacterized. The transcript has 2 exons. The record is from RefSeq and is a predicted model, not a curated record. NCBI's taxonomy places the organism in Eukaryota, Metazoa, Chordata, Actinopteri, Perciformes, Serranidae.